Molecule: transfer RNA, 72 nt
Filed under: Bacillus velezensis
Lineage: Bacteria; Bacillati; Bacillota; Bacilli; Caryophanales; Bacillaceae
Description: tRNA-Ile
Rfam family: tRNA
About the family: Transfer RNA (tRNA) molecules are approximately 80 nucleotides in length. Their secondary structure includes four short double-helical elements and three loops (D, anti-codon, and T loops). Further hydrogen bonds mediate the characteristic L-shaped molecular structure. tRNAs have two regions of fundamental functional importance: the anti-codon, which is responsible for specific mRNA codon recognition, and the 3' end, to which the tRNAs corresponding amino acid is attached (by aminoacyl-tRNA synthetases). tRNAs cope with the degeneracy of the genetic code in two manners: having more than one tRNA (with a specific anti-codon) for a particular amino acid; and 'wobble' base-pairing, i.e. permitting non-standard base-pairing at the 3rd anti-codon position.
Source: RNAcentral
GGGCCUGUAGCUCAGCUGGUUAGAGCGCACGCCUGAUAAGCGUCGGUGGUUCGAGUCCACUCAGGCCCACCA